GCAGCCGCCGCGGGAAUACGUAGGUGGCAAGCGUUGUCCGGAAUUAUUGGGCGUAAAGGGCUCGCAGGCGGUUUCUUAAGUCUGAUGUGAAAGCCCCCGGCUCAACCGGGGAGGGUCAUUGGAAACUGGGAAACUUGAGUGCAGAAGAGGAGAGUGGGAUUCCACGUGUAGCGGUGAAAUGCGUAGAGAUGUGGAGGAACACCAGUGGCGAAGGCGACUCUCUGGUCUGUAACUGACGCUGAGGAGCGAAAGCGUGGGGAGCGAACAGGAUUAGAUACCCGAGUAGUCCCUGUCUCUUAUAC
RNAcentral lists this ribosomal RNA (302 nucleotides) under uncultured bacterium. RNAcentral describes it as "partial 16S ribosomal RNA". It matches the Rfam family "Bacterial small subunit ribosomal RNA", at positions 508 to 807 of the family's 1533-position model. The record is from RNAcentral.